CAGGCUUAACACAUGCAAGUCGAGGGGCAGCAUGGUCUUAGCUUGCUAAGGCCGAUGGCGACCGGCGCACGGGUGAGUAACACGUAUCCAACCUGCCGUCUACUCUUGGACAGCCUUCUGAAAGGAAGAUUAAUACAAGAUGGCAUCAUGAGUCCACAUGUUCACAUGAUUAAAGGUAUUCCGGUAGACGAUGGGGAUGCGUUCCAUUAGAUAGUAGGCGGGGUAACGGCCCACCUAGUCUUCGAUGGAUAGGGGUUCUGAGAGGAAGGUCCCCCACAUUGGAACUGAGACACGGUCCAAACUCCUACGGGAGGCAGCAGUGAGGAAUAUUGGUCAAUGGGCGAGAGCCUGAACCAGCCAAGUAGCGUGAAGGAUGACUGCCCUAUGGGUUGUAAACUUCUUUUAUAAAGGAAUAAAGUCGGGUAUGCAUACCCGUUUGCAUGUACUUUAUGAAUAAGGAUCGGCUAACUCCGUGCCAGCAGCCGCGGUAAUACGGAGGAUCCGAGCGUUAUCCGGAUUUAUUGGGUUUAAAGGGAGCGUAGAUGGAUGUUUAAGUCAGUUGUGAAAGUUUGCGGCUCAACCGUAAAAUUGCAGUUGAUACUGGAUAUCUUGAGUGCAGUUGAGGCAGGCGGAAUUCGUGGUGUAGCGGUGAAAUGCUUAGAUAUCACGAAGAACUCCGAUUGCGAAGGCAGCCUGCUAAGCUGCAACUGACAUUGAGGCUCGAAAGUGUGGGUAUCAAACAGGAUUAGAUACCCUGGUAGUCCACACGGUAAACGAUGAAUACUCGCUGUUUGCGAUAUACGGCAAGCGGCCAAGCGAAAGCGUUAAGUAUUCCACCUGGGGAGUACGCCGGCAACGGUGAAACUCAAAGGAAUUGACGGGGGCCCGCACAAGCGGAGGAACAUGUGGUUUAAUUCGAUGAUACGCGAGGAACCUUACCCGGGCUUAAAUUGCAGAUGAAUUACGGUGAAAGCCGUAAGCCGCAAGGCAUCUGUGAAGGUGCUGCAUGGUUGUCGUCAGCUCGUGCCGUGAGGUGUCGGCUUAAGUGCCAUAACGAGCGCAACCCUUGUUGUCAGUUACUAACAGGUUCCGCUGAGGACUCUGACAAGACUGCCAUCGUAAGAUGUGAGGAAGGUGGGGAUGACGUCAAAUCAGCACGGCCCUUACGUCCGGGGCUACACACGUGUUACAAUGGGGGGUACAGAGGGCCGCUACCACGCGAGUGGAUGCCAAUCCCCAAAACCUUUCUCAGUUCGGACUGGAGUCUGCAACCCGACUCCACGAAGCUGGAUUCGCUAGUAAUCGCGCAUCAGCCACGGCGCGGUGAAUACGUUCCCGGGCCUUGUACACACCGCCCGUCAAGCCAUGGGAGCCGGGGGUACCUGAAGUGCGUAACCGCGAGGAGCGCCCUAGGGUAAAACUGGUGACUGGGGCUAA
This 1437-nucleotide ribosomal RNA is filed under the name uncultured organism. Its description in RNAcentral is "16S ribosomal RNA". It matches the Rfam family "Bacterial small subunit ribosomal RNA". The record is from RNAcentral.